UCUCGGUAUUGAUCAAAUUUCUCCAUGUCGUUGGCAUUCUCAAAUUUUGGAUUCAUUUCAUCAAGUUGUUGCCAUGUAGCAUUCUUUCGGGCAUAAAUAUCUGCAAUAGUUUGUCCAGGUGCUUGUCGAAGAUGAAAAAGAUCUUGAUUGAGUUUGUAAUGUCUUGUCGGAUCUGGUGCAACAUAACGCUUGACCAAAUGAUCUC
This 205-nucleotide long non-coding RNA is filed under the name Elaeis guineensis (African oil palm). Its description in RNAcentral is "long non-coding RNA (EGUI_LNC007010)". Lineage: Eukaryota; Viridiplantae; Streptophyta; Magnoliopsida; Arecales; Arecaceae. The record is from RNAcentral.